Molecule: ribosomal RNA, 1250 nt
Filed under: Candidatus Phytoplasma fraxini
Lineage: Bacteria; Bacillati; Mycoplasmatota; Mollicutes; Acholeplasmatales; Acholeplasmataceae
Description: bacterial SSU rRNA
Rfam family: Bacterial small subunit ribosomal RNA
Source: RNAcentral
GAAACGACUGCUAAGACUGGAUAGGAAAUAAAAAGGCAUCUUUUUAUUUUUAAAAGACCUUUUUCGAAAGGUAUGCUUAAAGAUGAGCUUGCGCCACAUUAGUUUGUUGGUGGGGUAAUGGCCUACCAAGACGAUGAUGUGUAGCUGGACUGAGAGGUCGAACAGCCACAUUGGGACUGAGACACGGCCCAAACUCCUACGGGAGGCAGCAGUAGGGAAUUUUCGGCAAUGGAGGAAACUCUGACCGAGCAACGCCGCGUGAACGAUGAAGUAUUUCGGUAUGUAAAGUUCUUUUAUUGAAGAAGAAAAAAUAGUGGAAAAACUAUCUUGACGUUAUUCAAUGAAUAAGCCCCGGCUAACUAUGUGCCAGCAGCCGCGGUAAGACAUAGGGGGCGAGCGUUAUCCGGAAUUAUUGGGCGUAAAGGGUGCGUAGGCGGUUAGGAAAGUCUAUAAUUUAAUUUCAGUGCUUAACGCUGUCUUGUUAUAGAAACUACCUUGACUAGAGUUAGAUAGAGGCAAGCGGAAUUCCAUGUGUAGCGGUAAAAUGUGUAAAUAUAUGGAGGAACACCAGAAGCGUAGGCGGCUUGCUGGGUCUUGACUGACGCUGAGGCACGAAAGCGUGGGUAGCAAACAGGAUUAGAUACACUGGUAGUCCACGCCGUAAACGAUGAGUACUAAGUGUCGGGAUAAAACUCGGUACUGAAGUUAACACAUUAAGUACUCCGCCUGAGUAGUACGUACGCAAGUAUGAAACUUAAAGGAAUUGACGGGACUCCGCACAAGCGGUGGAUCAUGUUGUUUAAUUCGAAGAUACACGAAAAAUCUUACCAGGUCUUGACAUGCUCUGCAAAGCUAUAGAAAUAUAGUGGAGGUUAUCAGGGACACAGGUGGUGCAUGGUUGUCGUCAGUUCGUGUCGUGAGAUGUUAGGUUAAGUCCUAAAACGAGCGCAACCCUUGUCGUUAGUUACCAGCACGUAAUGGUGGGCACUUUAACGAGACUGCCAAUUAAACAUUGGAGGAAGGUGAGGAUUACGUCAAAUCAUCAUGCCCCUUAUGAUCUGGGCUACAAACGUGAUACAAUGGCUGUUACAAAGAGUAGCUGAAGCGCGAGUUUUUAGCCAAUCUCAAAAAAGCAGUCUCAGUUCGGAUUGAAGUCUGUAACUCGACUUCAUGAAGUUGGAAUCGCUAGUAAUCGCGAAUCAGCAUGUCGCGGUGAAUACGUUCUCGGGGUUUGUACACACCGCCCGUCA